GAUGAACGCUGGCGGCGUGCCUAAUACAUGCCAGUCGAGCGAACAGACGAGGAGCUUGCUCCUCUGACGUUAGCGGCGGACGGGUGAGUAACACGUGGAUAACCUACCUAUAAGACUGGGAUAACUUCGGGAAACCGGAGCUAAUACCGGAUAAUAUAUUGAACCGCAUGGUUCAAUAGUGAAAGACGGUUUUGCUGUCACUUAUAGAUGGAUCCGCGCCGCAUUAGCUAGUUGGCAAGGUAACGGCUUACCAAGGCAACGAUGCGUAGCCGACCUGAGAGGGUGAUCGGCCACACUGGAACUGAGACACGGUCCAGACUCCUACGGGAGGCAGCAGUAGGGAAUCUUCCGCAAUGGGCGAAAGCUUGACGGAGCAACGCCGCGUGAGUGAUGAAGGUCUUCGGAUCGUAAAACUCUGUUAUUAGGGAAGAACAAAUGUGUAAGUAACUAUGCACGUCUUGACGGUACCUAAUCAGAAAGCCACGGCUAACUACGUG
RNAcentral lists this ribosomal RNA (497 nucleotides) under uncultured bacterium. RNAcentral describes it as "partial 16S ribosomal RNA". It matches the Rfam family "Bacterial small subunit ribosomal RNA", at positions 28 to 507 of the family's 1533-position model. The record is from RNAcentral.